CUCCAGUUUCCCCUCAGUAUUUAAGCAGAACAAGACAGAGCCCAGCCCGCACCUCCUCCGGGCAGGACUCCACAGCCUCCUCUGGGCUCGCCGAAAACCCUGUCCUU
RNAcentral lists this long non-coding RNA (107 nucleotides) under Sus scrofa (pig). RNAcentral describes it as "lncRNA (ENSSSCG00030047526.1)". Lineage: Eukaryota; Metazoa; Chordata; Mammalia; Artiodactyla; Suidae. The record is from RNAcentral.